GGAAGUUUGGUAGAGUUGGUUUAAUACAUCAGUCUUGAAAACUGACGAACUGUAAAAAGUUCCACAGGUUCGAAUCCUGUAGCUUCCG
This 88-nucleotide transfer RNA is filed under the name Ackermannviridae sp. Its description in RNAcentral is "tRNA-Ser". It matches the Rfam family "tRNA". Rfam says of the family: Transfer RNA (tRNA) molecules are approximately 80 nucleotides in length. Their secondary structure includes four short double-helical elements and three loops (D, anti-codon, and T loops). The record is from RNAcentral. Lineage: Duplodnaviria; Heunggongvirae; Uroviricota; Caudoviricetes; Pantevenvirales; Ackermannviridae.